RNAcentral lists this non-coding RNA (24 nucleotides) under Arabidopsis thaliana (thale cress). The record is from RNAcentral. Lineage: Eukaryota; Viridiplantae; Streptophyta; Magnoliopsida; Brassicales; Brassicaceae.
GAAGAUAUUGAAUCCGCAGAUCCU